Long non-coding RNA from Microcebus murinus (gray mouse lemur), 1555 nucleotides. NCBI's taxonomy places the organism in Eukaryota, Metazoa, Chordata, Mammalia, Primates, Cheirogaleidae. The record is from Ensembl.
GUCCUUUUACUUAACCCAAAUCUUCCCUCUAACAGUUCUCUUAGACUCCUUAUCAGUCCAUUGACCCAUGUUCUGAACCCCUAGGUAGCAUCUGACAUCAUCCCUAAUAUUUGCUGUUUUGAUCUGUGAGAAGGCAGCUGCAGAAGAAGCGUCAAAUAUGGAGGAUAAAGGCUAUUUAAGGCCAGCGAGGUAGAACUGGAAACCUCCAUUGUCCACUGUGACUCUAGCAUACUGUGGCAUCUUGUGCUAUCAUGAUUUUCUUCACAUGGUCUUAGGCUCUGCACUUCACUCUGCUCUGGUAAUGACCCAGAUGUAUUCAGGGAUUUCGACUAUUAGAAGUAGCCAUCAAAUCAGGAUGGACACAUUCUUUAUUCACCUUUUUCUUCAUUUAGCAAACAUUGAGGGCCUCCUUCAAGGUAGCUUUCAGUUCCAGGCAAAACCAUCCAGCACUCAGGAGGCCUUCUCGAGUGAACACUGCAGAACAGAGGAAGAGUUUCUGGAUCAAGUGAAUAGGAAGCUGGCUGAGACUAGCCCGGAGAAGGGCCUAUUCACCAGGAAGCCCUGCCACUGUGAGGAAAUCCUGAAAUUCGUGCUCUCACCCCUCGCCCAGCACUGCUUGGUCAUUGGAAAAACCACCUGUGCAUUUUAUUACCUGCUGGAGGCUGCUGCCGCCUCCUUGGACUUGUCAGAUAAUUACAUGGCCUUCUUUUAUUUGAGGACGGCAAGCAGUCUUCUGGGCCAACCCUCGGCAUUCUCAUUCUUGAGAAAACACAAGGUGAAGAUCUGUCAGUUUGAGGAGGCCACUUUCUGCUGUCUUUGGUCAGAGGUCUGUUUCAACAUGGGACAGAUCACCUUAGCCAAAAAAUUGGCUAGGCAAGCCCUUCAACUGCUGAAAAGGAAUUUCCCUUGGACCUGGUUUGGUAUCCUUUUCCAAACAUUCCUGGAAAAGUAUUGGCAUUCCCGUUUCCUGAGCCAACCUCCAAACAACCCUAGUGAGAAGUGAGAAGCCUGGACUAAGUUGUCCUGGUUCCCUUUAGGGCCACAGAAAACUGUAGCUAAAGUAGGAUCCAUGCUGGAGUUUUCCCCCUGUUGACUUAAGACUACUUUUUUUCUUACUAUCUGGUAACCGCCAAGCAUUUAACAGACAAACAUACAACAGACAGCAUAUCAGCAUAUACAUAUAUGCAUGUAACAGAUAAGUGCGUAAUGGACAGGUCUAGGUUUUCCACCUUACUCCCCAGCCAAUUAAAUGUAGCAAAUAGGAAUUCAAAGAAUGAAUCUUUUUUUUUAAAAAAAAUCUCUCUCUGAACUUUUCCUGAUUAAGAGGAGUAAAUUAAAAUGUUAUAUGGAGUUAGGUGCAGUGGAAUUCCAGGAACAUUUCUUGAGUUUGAAAGUCUAUGGAUGGCCCCACAAUGAGUAGACUUGGAUCUUUUGUGGGGAGAGAAAGUUGGGCAUUGGUGAGGAGCAAGGGUGUGCUAACCACCCGUGCUUCACAACAGUAAGAAGAACCUGGCAGUCCUGCAGCAGCGGGUGCAUUGCUUCUCCCUACUCUGGC